GCACCCGUAGCUCAAUUGGAUAGAGCGUCUGACUACGGAUCAGAAGGUUUGGGGUUCGAGUCCCUACGGGUGCGCCA
RNAcentral lists this transfer RNA (77 nucleotides) under Luteolibacter sp. Its description in RNAcentral is "tRNA-Arg". It matches the Rfam family "tRNA". Rfam says of the family: Transfer RNA (tRNA) molecules are approximately 80 nucleotides in length. Their secondary structure includes four short double-helical elements and three loops (D, anti-codon, and T loops). Further hydrogen bonds mediate the characteristic L-shaped molecular structure. tRNAs have two regions of fundamental functional importance: the anti-codon, which is responsible for specific mRNA codon recognition, and the 3' end, to which the tRNAs corresponding amino acid is attached (by aminoacyl-tRNA synthetases). tRNAs cope with the degeneracy of the genetic code in two manners: having more than one tRNA (with a specific anti-codon) for a particular amino acid; and 'wobble' base-pairing, i.e. permitting non-standard base-pairing at the 3rd anti-codon position. RNAcentral also lists the same sequence under 4 other names. The record is from RNAcentral. Lineage: Bacteria; Pseudomonadati; Verrucomicrobiota; Verrucomicrobiia; Verrucomicrobiales; Verrucomicrobiaceae.